ACUCCUACGGGAGGCAGCAGUGGGGAAUAUUGGACAAUGGGGGGAACCCGUGAUCCAGCCAUGCCGCGUGUGUGAAGAAGGCCUUAUGGUUGUAAAGCACUUUAAGCGAGGAGGAGGCUACUGAGACUAAUACUCUUGGAUAGUGGACGUUACUCGCAGAAUAAGCACCGGCUAACUCUGUGCCAGCAGCCGCGGUAAUACAGAGGGUGCGAGCGUUAAUCGGAUUUACUGGGCGUAAAGCGUGCGUAGGCGGCUUUUAAGUCGGAUGUGAAAUCCCCGAGCUUAACUUGGGAAUUGCAUUCGAUACUGGGAAGCUAGAGUAUGGGAGAGGAUGGUAGAAUUCCAGGUGUAGCGGUGAAAUGCGUAGAGAUCUGGAGGAAUACCGAUGGCGAAGGCAGCCAUCUGGCCUAAUACUGACGCUGAGGUACGAAAGCAUGGGAGCAAACAGGAUUAGAUACCCCUGGUAGCGACUGA
This 474-nucleotide ribosomal RNA is filed under the name uncultured bacterium. RNAcentral's name for it is "bacterial SSU rRNA". It matches the Rfam family "Bacterial small subunit ribosomal RNA", at positions 335 to 803 of the family's 1533-position model. The record is from RNAcentral.